AUUAGACUCGCAGAAACGCACGAAAAUCAAAUAUGGCUGCCAAAAUAAUAAAUCUUUGCAAUAAAUUGACUAAAACAGACUUACCAGCAGCAUUGCCUAAGAUGUUUAUCUAAUAAUAUUUCCAGAACCCCUCUACAAUCAUGUUCGUUCAGUAUUUUAUCAAGAUUAUACUCAACAAAAGAAAUUUCAGAAGUUAAACCAGAAGUAAAUGACCCAG
This is a long non-coding RNA of Patella vulgata (common limpet), 217 nucleotides long. RefSeq lists it as uncharacterized. The record is from RefSeq and is a predicted model, not a curated record. NCBI's taxonomy places the organism in Eukaryota, Metazoa, Mollusca, Gastropoda, Patellidae. The transcript has 4 exons.